Molecule: transfer RNA, 66 nt
Filed under: Leucocelis sp. LEU01
Lineage: Eukaryota; Metazoa; Arthropoda; Insecta; Coleoptera; Scarabaeidae
Description: tRNA-His
Source: RNAcentral
GCUUAAAUAGUUUUAUUUAAAAUAUUGAUUUGUGGUAUCAAAGAUAUAGUGUUAUUAUUUUAGGCA